UCCGCGGUAGCUCAAUGGUAGAGCAGAGGACUGUUAAUCCUUUGGUUGCAGGUUCGAAUCCUGCCCGCGGAGCCA
This 75-nucleotide transfer RNA is filed under the name Candidatus Portnoybacteria bacterium RBG_19FT_COMBO_36_7. RNAcentral's name for it is "tRNA-Asn". It matches the Rfam family "tRNA". Rfam says of the family: Transfer RNA (tRNA) molecules are approximately 80 nucleotides in length. Lineage: Bacteria; Candidatus Portnoyibacteriota. The record is from RNAcentral.